AGUCAAGUAAUUAAGUGCAUGUGGUGGAUGCCUUGGCAGUCAGAGGCGAUGAAAGACGUGAUAGCCUGCGAAAAGCUCCGGGGAGGCGGCAAAUAUCCUUUGAUCCGGAGAUGUCUGAAUGGGGGAACCCACCUACUUUAAGGUAGGUAUUGCAACAUGAAUACAUAGUGUUGCAAGGCGAACGAGGGGAAGUGAAACAUCUCAGUACCCUUAGGAAAAGAAAUCAAUUGAGAUUCCCUCAGUAGCGGCGAGCGAACGGGGAUCAGCCCAUUAAGUUAUGUGUGUUUUAGUGGAACGCUCUGGGAAGUGCGAACGUAGAGGGUGAUAUUCCCGUACACGAAAGGGCACACAUAAUGAUGACGAGUAGGGCGAGGCACGUGAAACCUUGUCUGAAUAUGGGGGGACCAUCCUCCAAGGCUAAAUACUCCUGACUGACCGAUAGUGAACCAGUACCGUGAGGGAAAGGCGAAAAGAACCCUGUGAGGGGAGUGAAAUAGAUCCUGAAACCGCAUGCAUACAAGCAGUGGGAGCACCUUCGUGGUGUGACUGCGUACCUUUUGUAUAAUGGGUCAGCGACUUAUAUUCAGUAGCGAGGUUAACCGUAUAGGGGAGCCGUAGAGAAAUCGAGUCUUAAUAGGGCGUUUAGUUGCUGGGUAUAGACCCGAAACCAGGCGAUCUAUCCAUGAGCAGGUUGAAGGUUGGGUAACACUAACUGGAGGACCGAACCCACUGUCGUUGAAAAGCCAGGGGAUGACUUGUGGAUAGGGGUGAAAGGCUAAUCAAGCCUGGUGAUAGCUGGUUCUCCCCGAAAGCUAUUUAGGUAGCGCCUCGGACGAAUACCAUAGGGGGUAGAGCACUGUUUCGGCUAGGGGGUCAUCCCGACUUACCAAACCGAUGCAAACUCCGAAUACCUAUGAGUACUAUCCGGGAGACAGACUGCGGGUGCUAACGUCCGUAGUCAAGAGGAAAACAAUCCAGACCGCCAGCUAAGGCCCCAAAAUCAUAGUUAAGUGGGAAACGAUGUGGGAAGGCAUAGACAGCUAGGAGGUUGGCUUAGAAGCAGCCACCCUUUAAAGAAAGCGUAAUAGCUCACUAGUCGAGUCGGCCUGCGCGGAAGAUGUAACGGGGCUAAAACUAUGUGCCGAAGCUGCGCGAUGUAUACUUUGUAUACGUGGUAGGGGAGCGUUCUGUAAGCCGAUGAAGGUGUGUUGAGAAGCAUGCUGGAGGUAUCAGAAGUGCGAAUGCUGACGUGAGUAACGACAAAACGGGUGAAAAACCCGUUCGCCGAAAGACCAAGGGUUCCAGUCCAACGUUAAUCGGGGCUGGGUGAGUCGACCCUAAGGCGAGGCCGAAAGGCGUAGUCGAUGGGAAAAUGGUUAAUAUUCCAUUACUUCUGUGUAAUGCGAUGAGAGGACGGAGAAGGCUAAAUCAGCCUGGCGUUGGUUGUCCAGGUGAAAGGAUGUAGGCAUGUAUCUUAGGCAAAUCCGGGGUACUCUAUGCUGAGAUCUGAUAGCAAGCUGUACUUGUACAGCGAAGUGGUUGAUGCCAUGCUUCCAGGAAAAGUCUCUAAGCUUCAGUUACACAGGAAUCGUACCCGAAACCGACACAGGUGGUCAGGUCGAGUAGACCAAGGCGCUUGAGAGAACUCUGCUGAAGGAACUAGGCAAAAUGGUACCGUAACUUCGGGAGAAGGUACGCUGUUGUUGGUGAUGGAACUCGCUUCCUGAGCUGACGACAGCCGCAGAAACCAGGCCGCUGCAACUGUUUAUUAAAAACAUAGCACUCUGCAAACACGAAAGUGGACGUAUAGGGUGUGAUGCCUGCCCGGUGCUGGAAGGUUAAUUGAUGGGGUUAGCGUAAGCGAAGCUCUUGAUCGAAGCCCCAGUAAACGGCGUAAGCGGCCGUAAAGCUAUAACGGUCCUAAGGUAGCGAAAUUCCUUGUCGGGUAAGUUCCGACCUGCACGAAUGGCAUAAUGAUGGCGGCGCUGUCUCCAGCAGAGGCUCAGUGAAAUCGAAAUCGCUGUGAAGAUGCAGUGUACCCGCGGCUAGACGGAAAGACCCCGUGAACCUUUACUGCAGCUUGACACUGAACUUUGACCUUACUUGUGUAGGAUAGGUGGGAGGCUUUGAAGCUGGAACGCUAGUUCCAGUGGAGCCGUCCUUGAAAUACCACCCUGGUAAUGUUGAGGUUCUAACUCUGUCCCGUGAUCCGGGACGAGGACCGUGUCUGGUGGGUAGUUUGACUGGGGCGGUCUCCUCCUAAAGAGUAACGGAGGAGUACGAAGGUGCGCUCAGCGUGGUCGGAAAUCACGCGUAGAGUAUAAAGGCAAAAGCGCGCUUAACUGCGAGACCCACAAGUCGAGCAGGUACGAAAGUAGGUCUUAGUGAUCCGGUGGUUCUGUAUGGAAGGGCCAUCGCUCAACGGAUAAAAGGUACUCUGGGGAUAACAGGCUGAUACCGCCCAAGAGUUCAUAUCGACGGCGGUGUUUGGCACCUCGAUGUCGGCUCAUCUCAUCCUGGGGCUGAAGCAGGUCCCAAGGGUAUGGCUGUUCGCCAUUUAAAGAGGUACGCGAGCUGGGUUUAGAACGUCGUGAGACAGUUCGGUCCCUAUCUACCGUGGGCGCUGGAAAUUUGAGAGGAUCUGCUCCUAGUACGAGAGGACCAGAGUGGACGAACCUCUGGUGUACCGGUUGUGACGCCAGUCGCAUCGCCGGGUAGCUAUGUUCGGAAGGGAUAACCGCUGAAAGCAUCUAAGCGGGAAGCCUACCUCAAGAUAAGAUUUCCCUAGGACUUUAUGUCCUCUAAAGAGCCGUUCGAGACUAGGACGUUGAUAGGUUGGAUGUGGAAGCAUAGUGAUAUGUGAAGCUGACCAAUACUAAUUGCUCGUGAGGCUUGACUAU
Molecule: ribosomal RNA, 2900 nt
Filed under: Acinetobacter baumannii
Lineage: Bacteria; Pseudomonadati; Pseudomonadota; Gammaproteobacteria; Moraxellales; Moraxellaceae
Description: 23S ribosomal RNA
Rfam family: Bacterial large subunit ribosomal RNA
Source: RNAcentral